Molecule: ribosomal RNA, 253 nt
Filed under: uncultured bacterium
Lineage: Bacteria
Description: partial 16S ribosomal RNA
Rfam family: Bacterial small subunit ribosomal RNA
Source: RNAcentral
UACGUAGGGUGCAAGCGUUGUCCGGAAUUAUUGGGCGUAAAGAGCUCGUAGGCGGUUUGUCGCGUCGGAUGUGAAAUCCCGGGGCUUAACCCCGGGCCUGCAUUCGAUACGGGCUGACUAGAGUUCGGCAGGGGAGACUGGAAUUCCUGGUGUAGCGGUGAAAUGCGCAGAUAUCAGGAGGAACACCGGUGGCGAAGGCGGGUCUCUGGGCCGAUACUGACGCUGAGGAGCGAAAGCGUGGGGAGCGAACAGG